Molecule: ribosomal RNA, 253 nt
Filed under: uncultured bacterium
Lineage: Bacteria
Description: partial 16S ribosomal RNA
Rfam family: Bacterial small subunit ribosomal RNA
Source: RNAcentral
UACGUAGGGGGCAAGCGUUGUCCGGAAUCAUUGGGCGUAAAGAGCUCGUAGGCGGCUUGUCACGUCGAUUGUGAAAGCCCGAGGCUUAACCUCGGGUCUGCAGUCGAUACGGGCUAGCUAGAGUGUGGUAGGGGAGAUCGGAAUUCCUGGUGUAGCGGUGAAAUGCGCAGAUAUCAGGAGGAACACCGGUGGCGAAGGCGGAUCUCUGGGCCAUUACUGACGCUGAGGAGCGAAAGCGUGGGGAGCGAACAGG